UGGCUCCGGAGUCGUGCUCAAGGGCAACGUGACCAUCGCAGCCAAGGCUGGAGUCAAGUUGGAGAUCCCAGAUGGAGCUGUGCUCGAGAACAAGGACAUCAACGGCCCGGAGGAUCUUUGAGUGACGCCCACCGCCAUCGCCAGUCACAUUCCCAGAAACCUUCCGGUCCUCCUUCGCUGAGUUAACCGUCCUGUAAUUUUUGUGUGCAUUCUGCUGGGGUGUUGUCCUGGGAUAGCCCCUUUACGUAAUAAUUGUAAGCCCCUCUGCUGUUCAUCUACACUUGUUCUUCCUGGCCGUGCCAGGGACAUAAAAUUUCUUUUGGUUAUAUGAUGAUGCCCCUAGUUCUCACAUGCCUAAAUUUGUUUCUUUCGCCCU
Long non-coding RNA from Triticum dicoccoides, 376 nucleotides. RefSeq lists it as uncharacterized. The transcript has 4 exons. Lineage: Eukaryota; Viridiplantae; Streptophyta; Magnoliopsida; Poales; Poaceae. The record is from RefSeq and is a predicted model, not a curated record.